ACCUGGCUGGCUCAGUUGGUAGAGUAUGUGACUCUUGAUCUCAUGGUCGUGAGUUUAAGCCCCACAUUGGGCA
Molecule: transfer RNA, 73 nt
Filed under: Felis catus (domestic cat)
Lineage: Eukaryota; Metazoa; Chordata; Mammalia; Carnivora; Felidae
Also listed under: 4 other names
Rfam family: tRNA
About the family: Transfer RNA (tRNA) molecules are approximately 80 nucleotides in length. Their secondary structure includes four short double-helical elements and three loops (D, anti-codon, and T loops). Further hydrogen bonds mediate the characteristic L-shaped molecular structure. tRNAs have two regions of fundamental functional importance: the anti-codon, which is responsible for specific mRNA codon recognition, and the 3' end, to which the tRNAs corresponding amino acid is attached (by aminoacyl-tRNA synthetases). tRNAs cope with the degeneracy of the genetic code in two manners: having more than one tRNA (with a specific anti-codon) for a particular amino acid; and 'wobble' base-pairing, i.e. permitting non-standard base-pairing at the 3rd anti-codon position.
Source: Rfam by way of RNAcentral